This 497-nucleotide ribosomal RNA is filed under the name uncultured bacterium. RNAcentral describes it as "partial 16S ribosomal RNA". It matches the Rfam family "Bacterial small subunit ribosomal RNA", at positions 28 to 507 of the family's 1533-position model. The record is from RNAcentral.
GAUGAACGCUGGCGGCGUGCCUAAUACAUGCAAGUCGAGCGAACAGACGAGGAGCUUGCUCCUCUGACGUUAGCGGCGGACGGGUGAGUAACACGUGGAUAACCUACCUAUAAGACUGGGAUAACUUCGGGAAACCGGAGCUAAUACCGGAUAAUAUAUUGAACCGCAUGGUUCAAUAGUGAAAGACGGUUUUGCUGUCACUUAUAGAUGGAUCCGCGCCGCAUUGGCUAGUUGGUAAGGUAACGGCUUACCAAGGCAACGAUGCGUAGCCGACCUGAGAGGGUGAUCGGCCACACUGGAACUGAGACACGGUCCAGACUCCUACGGGAGGCAGCAGUAGGGAAUCUUCCGCAAAGGGCGAAAGCCUGACGGAGCAACGCCGCGUGAGUGAUGAAGGUCUUCGGAUCGUAAAACUCUGUUAUUAGGGAAGAACAAAUGUGUAAGUAACUAUGCACGUCUUGACGGUACCUAAUCAGAAAGCCACGGCUAACUACAUG